This 370-nucleotide ribosomal RNA is filed under the name uncultured eukaryote. RNAcentral's name for it is "partial 18S ribosomal RNA". It matches the Rfam family "Eukaryotic small subunit ribosomal RNA", at positions 592 to 976 of the family's 1831-position model. The record is from RNAcentral.
CAAUAGCGUAUAAUAAAGUUGUUGCAGUUAAAAAGCUCGUAGUUGGACCUUGGACCUGGACAGGCGGUCCGCCUCACGGCGUGUACUGUCUUGCUGGGUCUUUCCUCUUGGUGAUCUGUUGUUUCGGCAGCAGGGAACCAGGACUUUUACUUUGAAAAAAUUAGAGUGUUCAAAGCAGGCUCGACGCCGGAAUAUAUUAGCAUGGAAUAAUAAAAUAGGACGUGCGGUUCUAUUUUGUUGGUUUUUGGAAUCGCCGUAAUGAUUAAUAGGGACAGUCGGGGGCAUUAGUACUCACAUGCUAGAGGUGAAAUUCUUGGAUUUUGUGAAGACUAACUUCUGCGAAAGCACUUGCCAAGGAUGUUUUCAUUAA